AAAGAUGAAGAGGAAAAUACGAGUGUGGCGACUUGUCCCAUGACGAGGACGGGUGUUCUACUUCUUGUCCUCCAACUCAUGUGACUGUUAGUAGGUCAGUUACGUGUUAGGUCGUCGGUACCGGCCGGUUGGGGCGUUUGAUGGCGGCGGGCUGCACUUCUCUCCCGGUAGGACGUCGCGACCCGUUGGACAGGGGUCUAAGGCCCGGGAUGGAGCCCGAGGGGGUCGCCGAUGAAUAUCGGGUUCACGGUCCCCCGGACCUCGGUCGCCCGGCCCCAGUUCGACGGUAGGAAACGAGGAGAUGGCCCGCUCACGGAUGUGUGUAGGUGCCGCGGCCAACGCCGCGUCCCUGCCGCCCGCGGGCUGCUGGUCUCCGGAGUUCUCGGACAGCUUUGGCCGUUCUCCCGUCCGCGGCGCUAUUGCUUCGGAUGCCUUCCCGACCCGUCUUGAAACACCCAGUUCGACGGUA
Molecule: ribosomal RNA, 469 nt
Filed under: Humbertiella ceylonica
Lineage: Eukaryota; Metazoa; Arthropoda; Insecta; Mantodea; Gonypetidae
Description: eukaryotic LSU rRNA
Source: RNAcentral